GCUCCCGUAGUCUAGAGGCCAAGGAUGCAGCCCUUUCACGGCUGUGACCCGGGUUCGAAUCCCGGCGGGAGCA
RNAcentral lists this transfer RNA (73 nucleotides) under Nanobdellota archaeon. RNAcentral describes it as "tRNA-Glu". It matches the Rfam family "tRNA". From Rfam's summary of the family: Transfer RNA (tRNA) molecules are approximately 80 nucleotides in length. The record is from RNAcentral. Lineage: Archaea; Nanobdellati; Nanobdellota.